This 401-nucleotide ribosomal RNA is filed under the name uncultured bacterium. RNAcentral describes it as "bacterial SSU rRNA". It matches the Rfam family "Bacterial small subunit ribosomal RNA", at positions 356 to 774 of the family's 1533-position model. The record is from RNAcentral.
CGGGAAUUUUGGGCAAUGGGCGAAAGCCUGACCCAGCAACGCCGCGUGAGGGAUGAAGUAUUUCGGUAUGUAAACCUCAAAAGAAUGGGAAGAAUAAAUGACGGUACCAUUUAUAAGCUCCGGCUAACUACGUGCCAGCAGCCGCGGUAAUACGUAGGGAGCAAGCGUUGUUCGGAUUUACUGGGCGUAAAGGGCGCGUAGGCGGCGCGGUAAGUCACUUGUGAAAUCUCUGAGCUUAACUCAGAACGGCCAAGUGAUACUGCUGGGCUAGAGUGCGGAAGAGGCAACCGGAACUCUUGGUGUAGCGGUGAAAUGCGUAGAUAUCUGGAAGAACACCAGUGGCGAAGGCGGUCAACUGGCCCAUAACUGACGCUCAUGCACGAAAGCGUGGGGAGCAAACA